This 601-nucleotide long non-coding RNA is filed under the name Heterocephalus glaber (naked mole-rat). Its description in RNAcentral is "lncRNA (ENSHGLG00000041955.1)". The record is from RNAcentral. Lineage: Eukaryota; Metazoa; Chordata; Mammalia; Rodentia; Bathyergidae.
GUGGACUUGGGCUAAGAGGGCGGAGCGCACAGGUUAGACUUGGGCAAUUUCAGAGCAACUUCGUGGGCACUGAAACCUGAAGUGGCUGCGUUGUGCGGUGUACCAAUGCCCAGUCUGUCCGGGUUAGGACGUGGGCGACGGAUCUGUACCUGUUGACCAAUGAGAACUUGAGAUGCCGUGGGAACCCAGAGAAAACAUGGGUAGGGAGAUCUUCCUGGAAAGGUAUCAAUGAUGGCAGCAGCAUUUCCUGACUUCUGUACACACUGUUCAUCCUUUGCAGUGUCAUGGUCACACACCUGUUGUCUGUAUGUGUGGCUCCACGUUGGUCCAUGUUUUCUUCACCAAUACCUCACUGUCUGGACCACUAUGGCUUUGGAAUAUAUCGUGUGCCCUGGGAGGUGGUUUCCCAUCUUGUUCUCAAGAUUGAUCUGUCCUUGUCCCUGUUACCUCCAAAGUCAAUUAUAGAAGUAAUUUAAGCUCCAUGAAAACUUCAGUGUAUACAUCAUUAAAAUGUACUUGAAAUUUUAUAUGAAGUGGAGAUAACUAGUAACCUUAUGACUUUUUAGUUAUUUGUAAUGAAUGUAUCAUAACUCUCCUUUCA